RNAcentral lists this long non-coding RNA (202 nucleotides) under Lupinus angustifolius (narrow-leaved blue lupine). RNAcentral describes it as "long non-coding RNA (LANG_LNC002099)". Lineage: Eukaryota; Viridiplantae; Streptophyta; Magnoliopsida; Fabales; Fabaceae. The record is from RNAcentral.
CCGGGCACUGGUUUCGCCCCUAAUACAAACAAUAUUACAUGAGCAUCAAGAAGAAAUCAAAAAUGGAAGAACGAAAUAGGAUACAAUGAGAUUAUAACAAAAAUAUAUUGCUAAGGAAGACUUAGAUGCCUCCGUGAUCACCGGUGCCUGAUCUAAACAGCUAUUGGCAUCAUCAAUUAUCGCCCCAAGUGUGGCAUUCUUC